AUUGAACGCUGGCGGCAGGCCUAACACAUGCAAGUAGAGCGAGCGGCGGACGGGUGAGUAAUGUCGGGGAAACUGCCUGAUGGAGGGGGAUAACUACUGGAAACGGUAGCUAAUACCGCAUACCAUCAGAUGUGCCCAGAUGGGAUUAGCUAGUAGUUGGGGUAACGGCUCACCUAGACGACGAUCCAUAUCUGGUCUGAGAGGAUGACCAGCCACACUGGAACCGAGACACGGUCCAGACUCCGACGUGCGGCAGCAGUGGGGAAUAUUGCACAAUGGGCGCAAGCCUGAUGCAGCCAUGCCGCGUGUGUGAAGAAGUCCUUCGGGGUGUAAAGCACUUUCAGCUGGGAGGCGUUACCCGCAGAAGAAGCACCGGCUAACUCCGUGCCAGCCGCCGCGGUAAUUC
This 406-nucleotide ribosomal RNA is filed under the name uncultured bacterium. RNAcentral describes it as "partial 16S ribosomal RNA". It matches the Rfam family "Bacterial small subunit ribosomal RNA", at positions 30 to 526 of the family's 1533-position model. The record is from RNAcentral.